RNAcentral lists this ribosomal RNA (497 nucleotides) under uncultured bacterium. RNAcentral describes it as "partial 16S ribosomal RNA". It matches the Rfam family "Bacterial small subunit ribosomal RNA", at positions 28 to 507 of the family's 1533-position model. The record is from RNAcentral.
GAUGAACGCUGGCGGCGUGCCUAAUACAUGCAAGUCGAGCGAACGGACGAGAAGCUUGCUUCUCUGAUGUUAGCGGCGGACGGGUGAGUAACACGUGGAUAACCUACCUAUAAGACUGAGAUAACUUCGGGAAACCGGAGCUAAUACCGGAUGAUAUUUUGAACCGCAUGGUUCAAAAGUGAAAGACGGUCUUGCUGUCACUUAUAGAUGGAUCCGCGCUGCAUUAGCUAGUUGGUAAGGUAACGGCUUACCAAGGCAACGAUGCAUAGCCGACCUGAGAGGGUGAUCGGCCACACUGGAACUGAGACACGGUCCAGACUCCUACGGGAGGCAGCAGUAGGGAAUCUUCCGCAAUGGGCGAAAGCCUGAUGGAGCAACGCCGCGUGAGUGAUGAAGGUCUUCGGAUCGUAAAGCUCUGUUAGUAGGGAAGAACAUAUGUGUAAGUAACUGUGCCCAUCUUGACGGUACCUAAUCAGAAAGCCACGGCUAACUACGUG